This 1953-nucleotide ribosomal RNA is filed under the name human gut metagenome. RNAcentral's name for it is "bacterial LSU rRNA". It matches the Rfam family "Bacterial large subunit ribosomal RNA", at positions 3 to 1983 of the family's 2925-position model. The record is from RNAcentral.
UCAAGCAAAAAAGAGCGCAGGGUGGAUGCCUUGGCACUAAGAGCCGAAGAAAGACGUGAUAAGCUGCGAAAAGCUGCGGGGAGGAGCAAAUAUCCACUGAUCCGCAGAUGUCUGAAUGGGGAAACCCGCAUGAGCAUACCUCAUGCAUCCAUACGCCAAUCCAUAACGUAUGGAGGGGAACCGCCUGAACUGAAACAUCUAAGUAGGGCGAGGAAGAGAAAGAAAAUUUUUCGAUUUCCAAAGUAGCGGCGAGCGAAAUGGAAAGAGGCCAAACCGGAGUGCGUGCACUCCGGGGUUCGGACCGCAUUUAAGAUUCAGUGAUUCUAGCAGAAAGGUUUUGGGAAAGCCUGCCGGAGAGGGUGAAAGCCCCGUAAGCGAAAGAGGAACUGACUGAGCGGUAUCCAGAGUACAUCGAGACACGAGAAACCUUGAUGGAAUGAGCGGGGACCACCCCGUAAGCCUAAAUACUCCUUAGUGACCGAUAGCGCAUAGUACUGUGAAGGAAAGGUGAAAAGGACCCCGGGAGGGGAGUGAAAGAGAACCUGAAACCCUGUGUUUACAAGCUGUGGGACAUCUUUACAUGAUGAACCGCGUACUUUUUGUAGAACGGUCCGGCGAGUUGCGGAUGCCGGCAAGGUUAAGCACUUAAGGUGUGGAGCCGAAGGGAAACCAAGUCUGAAGAGGGCGCAUAUAGUCAGUAUCCGCAGACCCGAAACCGGGUGAUCUACCCAUGUCCAGGUUGAAGUUGCCGUAAAAGGCAAUGGAGGACCGAACGCACAUCCGUUGAAAAGGGUGGCGAUGAGGUGUGGGUAGGGGAGAAAUUCCAAUCGAACCCGGAGAUAGCUGGUUCUCCUCGAAAUAGCUUUAGGGCUAGCCUCGUUUUAGUCUUAUGGAGGUAGAGCACUGAAUUUCCGCGGGGGCGUCAAAGCUUACCAAAGAAUAUCAAACUCCGAAUGCCAUGUAGAUGAUGAACGGGAGUCAGACUGCACGAGAUAAGUUGGGCAGUCAAAAGGGAAAGAGCCCAGACCGCCAGCCAAGGUCCCAAAGUGUGUGUUAAGUGGAAAAGGAUGUGGGAUCUCCAAGACAACUAGGAUGUUGGCUCAGAAGCAGCCACACAUUCAAAGAGUGCGUAACAGCUCACUAGUCGAGAGGUCCUGCGCCGAAAAUGUCCGGGGCUGAAACACAACACCGAAGCUGCGGAAUUGCGAAUGCAAUUGGUAGAGGAGCAUUCUUAAUACCGACGAAGCUGUACCGGAAGGAGCAGUGGAGGGAUAAGAAGAGAGAAUGCCGGAAUGAGUAGCGAGAGAGAGGUGGGAAUCCUCUCGGCCGAAUAUCCAAGGUUUCCAGAGUAAAGCUGAUCUGCUCUGGGUAAGUCGGGGCCUAAGGCGAGGUCAAAAGACGUAGCCGAUGGACAACAGGUUUAGAUUCCUGUACCGCAUAUAAACAGAACUGUGGGGACGCAUGGGGAGAGCAUGGGCCGGGAAUGGAAAUACCGGUGCAAGCGAAGGAGGUGUGCAGCCGGCAAAUCCGCUGCAUGAGCCGAAAGCGUGACGCGGAGCGAAAUGAAAGUAGCGAAGCAUGUGAGCCCUGUGCCGAGAAAAGCCGCUAUUGCUUUAUAUGUGCCCGUACCGUAAACCGACACAGGUGGAUGAGGAGAGAAUCCUAAGGCCGGCGGAAGAAGUAUUGUUAAGGAACUCGGCAAAAUGACCCCGUAACUUCGGGAGAAGGGGUGCCCACGGGAGUGGGCCGCAGAGAAUAGGCUCAAGCAACUGUUUAGCAAAAACACAGGUCUAUGCGAAACCGAAAGGUGAAGUAUAUGGGCUGACGCCUGCCCGGUGCUGGAAGGUUAAGAGGAGAGGUUAGCGCAAGCGAAGCUUUGAAUUUAAGCCCCAGUAAACGGCGGCCGUAACUAUAACGGUCCUAAGGUAGCGAAAUUCCUUGUCGGGUAAGUUC